UCAAUUCAAAAUUGCUCUGGUGAUCAAUUCAAGCUUGCUGUGAUUGGCGAGAAGACGUCCUGGUCAAUCACCACAUCUGCAGCACAUGCGGUGCUACUGCUGCUGUUGGUCAGUGCGGGGAGGAGCACGGGCGGAGGUCAAUUGGCCGGAUCCGGAGCUCCAGUGCCUGAAUCGAGGAGUUGGAAGGCUGAGGCAGGAGGAGGAGGAGCACGGGCUGCGCUGCUGCUGCUGUUGGUCGGUGUGGGGAGGAGCACGGACGGAGGUCAAUUGGCCGGAUCCGGAGCUCCAGUGCCUGAAUCGAGGAGCUGGAAAGCUCAGGUAGGAGGAAGAGCAAGGGCGGCGCUGCUGCUGGUCGGUGCGGGGAGGAGCACGGGCGGCGCGACGGCCAAGAGUCGCGGGCGGCUGGAGGCUGUGGCGGACGGCGAGGGAGCUGCGUAUGAGUUUGGGCUCUCGAUUGGAGCGGAGGAAGGCGGCCGGCGAGGGUGCUACGGUCGGCGCGGACGGACGCCGGAGCUGCAGCAGUGGGGUGGAGCCUGGCGGAGGGGAGGAGCGAUGGAGGAAGACGGAGAUCCCCAGCGACAAGAAUUUCAAAUUGAGGGUAGUUUGGUACUUUUUCAUGUUUUCACCUGGUCGGAGAAGUUCCCCAACGACAAAUCUUCUAUAUCUAAAUAA
RNAcentral lists this ribosomal RNA (672 nucleotides) under Triticum aestivum (bread wheat). Its description in RNAcentral is "partial small subunit ribosomal RNA". The record is from RNAcentral. Lineage: Eukaryota; Viridiplantae; Streptophyta; Magnoliopsida; Poales; Poaceae.